AACGAACGCUGGCGGCAGGCUUAACACAUGCAAGUCGAGCGAGACCUUCGGGUCUAGCGGCGGACGGGUGCGUAAAGCGUGGGAACGUGCCCUUCUCUACGGAAUAGCCCCGGGAAACUGGGAGUAAUACCGUAUACGCCCUUUGGGGGAAAGAUUUAUCGGAGAAGGAUCGGCCCGCGUUGGAUGAGGUAGUUGGUGGGGUAAUGGCCCACCAAGCCGACCAUCCAUAGCUGGCUACAGAGGAUGAUCAGCAACACUGGGACUGAGACACGGCCCCGACUCCUACGGGAGGAAUCAGUGGGGAAUCUUAGACAAUGGAGGCAACCCUGAUCUAUCCAUGCCGCGUGAGUUAUGAAGGCCUUAGGGUUGUAAAGCUCUUUAAGCUGCGAAGAUAAUGACGGUACCAGCAGAAGAAGCCCCGGCUAACUCCGUGCCAGCCGCCGCAGUAA
This 449-nucleotide ribosomal RNA is filed under the name uncultured bacterium. Its description in RNAcentral is "partial 16S ribosomal RNA". It matches the Rfam family "Bacterial small subunit ribosomal RNA", at positions 29 to 523 of the family's 1533-position model. The record is from RNAcentral.